RNAcentral lists this small RNA (878 nucleotides) under Pongo abelii (Sumatran orangutan). RNAcentral describes it as "processed transcript". The record is from RNAcentral. Lineage: Eukaryota; Metazoa; Chordata; Mammalia; Primates; Hominidae.
GUCAUUGUGCUGCGACCUUUGUUUAACGCCGUUGGCGAAGCCAGGCUGUCCUAGGAAGCCGAGUGGGAGUGGCACGGAGCUGCUGGAGGUCCUGAGAACCUGAGUUUCGGCAAGCAACCAGGUCUGGAAACUGAUUUGGAGUGGAUCAGUUACGAGAUGACAAUCUAGAAACUUAUUGGCAAUCAGAUGGUUCCCAGCCUCAUUUAGUGAACAUCCAAUUCAGCAACUUGAGUUGGUGGAACCAAGUGGCUGGAUUCAUGUUCCCUUAACUGACAAUCAUAAGAAGCCAACUCGUACAUUCAUGAUACAGAUUGCUGUUCUAGCCAAUCACCAAAAUGGAAGAGACACCCAUAUGAGACAAAUUAAAAUAUACACACCGGUAGAAGAGAGCUCCAUUGGUAAAUUUCCUAGAUGUACAACUAUAGAUUUCAUGAUGUAUCGUUCAAUAAGGUGACUUUAAAAUGAGAUGAAAAUCAUUAAAUAUAUCUUUGUUUUAUCCUGUGUUUAAAUAAUAUAUCAGGUACCUUUAUUGAACAAAGCAUCUGUUAUUUGUAAUUUUGUAUAUGUUUAAAAAUAUUUUAUUGUAACUUUGACAAAUAAAUUUGGGGUCAUAUUAUCUUUAUUUUCUUUAACAUGUAAUAAAGCUCACAUAUUUUACAUUACUAAAAAUGGACUUAAAGCCAAUCAUUUUAUUUUCCCUGUAUCAAAAGAAAAGAGUUGAACUGAAAAUUUCAGUAUAUACACAAUUAUAGUAGCUAGGUGAUUAUUUCAUUAGUGUUCAUACAUUAGAGUAAUGGUUUAUUGCAUAUUUGGGAACAAGACUGUGUUUUAUCAAUAUAUAUCAUCUUUAAUAGGUCAAAAUUACUAUUUUUUCUACC